Hippocampus comes (tiger tail seahorse) is the source of this 356-nucleotide long non-coding RNA. RefSeq lists it as uncharacterized. The transcript has 2 exons. NCBI's taxonomy places the organism in Eukaryota, Metazoa, Chordata, Actinopteri, Syngnathiformes, Syngnathidae. The record is from RefSeq and is a predicted model, not a curated record.
CCCGUCAUCAUUGUACCUCCCAAAAGCACCUCCAUUAAUGUAUCCCAGGAUGCACUUCUUCAAUGUCAGGCCCUGGCUGACCCCUCAAACAUGACGUACGUGUGGCUGAAAGGAGGAGAAAAUGUCUACCACCUACAAACAAAAUAAGACUCUUUGGGAAACGCGCCCAUGAAGGGCUUGUAAUCACCACCCACCAACCUGCCAAAUGUGGGAGAAUAUCAGCUGUGGUGGGUGACCCCGCCGCUCCCACGAGCCACUUUGAGGGUUCAACGGCUCAUCUUUAAUCUGUCAGCCAGAUGGAUUUCCUCUCCAUGUAUGAUUCGGCACACAUGUGCUUCGAGGAUUGGUUGGUGAAA